AAACGACGUCUAAUACCGGAUACGAGCUUCCACCGCAUGGUGAGUUGCUGGAAAGAAUUUUGGUCAAGGAUGGACUCGCGGCCUAUCAGCUUGUUGGUGAGGUAACGGCUCACCAAGGCGACGACGGGUAGCCGGCCUGAGAGGGUGACCGGCCACACUGGGACUGAGACACGGCCCAGACUCCUACGGGAGGCAGCAGUGGGGAAUAUUGCACAAUGGGCGAAAGCCUGAUGCAGCAACGCCGCGUGAGGGACGACGGCCUUCGGGUUGUAAACCUCUUUUAGCAGGGAAGAAGCGAAAGUGACGGUACCUGCAGAAAAAGCACCGGCUAACUACGUGCCAGCAGCCGCGGUAAUACGUAGGGUGCAAGCGUUGUCCGGAAUUAUUGGGCGUAAAGAGCUCGUAGGCGGUUUGUCGCGUCUGCUGUGAAAUCCCGAGGCUCAACCUCGGGUCUGCAGUGGGUACGGGCAGACUAGAGUGCGGUAGGGGAGAUUGGAAUUCCUGGUGUAGCGGUGGAAUGCGCAGAUAUCAGGAGGAACACCGAUGGCGAAGGCAGAUCUCUGGGCCGCUACUGACGCUGAGGAGCGAAAGGGUGGGGAGCAAACAGGCUUAGAUACCCUGGUAGUCCACCCCGUAAACGUUGGGCGCUAGAUGUGGGGACCAUUCCACGGUUUCCGUGUCGUAGCUAACGCAUUAAGCGCCCCGCCU
This 708-nucleotide ribosomal RNA is filed under the name Plantibacter sp. 218-FB. RNAcentral's name for it is "bacterial SSU rRNA". It matches the Rfam family "Bacterial small subunit ribosomal RNA", at positions 154 to 874 of the family's 1533-position model. The record is from RNAcentral. Lineage: Bacteria; Bacillati; Actinomycetota; Actinomycetes; Micrococcales; Microbacteriaceae.